CAUGAAGAUCCUUUUCAGGAUGCUAUCCUCAGCAGAUCCCCUAGGGGUGGUCGCUAAACUAUUCACAAGCCGUUGAGGCUGCCCUGUAUCCAGUGGUAGCAAUUACUACCUCCAGGUGCGCUGAGUCCAGAAUGUCCUGCCUGCCCACCCAAGACUGCUCCUCUGGACCAUAACCCUUCAAGUUCACCAGAUGUCUUCCACCUCUCCUUCUUCUCCUUCGGCCCUGUUUCUGUGGGGAUGGAUUCUUCAGUACCCUGGGGUGAAGACAGGACAAAAGGAAAUGUACAAAAGAGGGAGAAACAAAACAGUCCAUUUCAAGGCUUCAGACAAAAGAUGUGGAAGAGGAAUUGUGGAAAAGUGGAAAAGACCCCUAUGAGCUAAUUGUGAUGGCGGCAGAGCCAGCUGCCCAACGGGACCUGAGGCAUCGGAGCGUGUCGAGAACACUCCGCUCCUUCUCCCACUCCAGCCACUUCUCACUUCCUUUCCUGGGCACCAGAACACUAUUCCCCUUCAACACUAUCCCCUUUCCCUUUUACCCUCACUUCUGGUCCCA
Molecule: long non-coding RNA, 553 nt
Organism: Silurus meridionalis
Lineage: Eukaryota; Metazoa; Chordata; Actinopteri; Siluriformes; Siluridae
Exons: 4
Source: RefSeq, a predicted model, not a curated record